RNAcentral lists this ribosomal RNA (425 nucleotides) under uncultured bacterium. Its description in RNAcentral is "partial 16S ribosomal RNA". It matches the Rfam family "Bacterial small subunit ribosomal RNA", at positions 354 to 796 of the family's 1533-position model. The record is from RNAcentral.
GUGGGGAAUAUUGGACAAUGGGCGCAAGCCUGAUCCAGCCAUGCCGCGUGAGUGAUGAAGGCCCUAGGGUUGUAAAGCUCUUUCACCGAUGAAGAUAAUGACGGUAGUCGGAGAAGAAGCCCCGGCUAACUUCGUGCCAGCAGCCGCGGUAAUACGAAGGGGGCUAGCGUUGUUCGGAAUUACUGGGCGUAAAGCGCACGUAGGCGGAUAUUUAAGUCAGGGGUGAAAUCCCAGAGCUCAACUCUGGAACUGCCUUUGAUACUGGGUAUCUCGAGUAUGGAAGAGGUGAGUGGAAUUCCGAGUGUAGAGGUGAAAUUCGUAGAUAUUCGGAAGAACACCAGUGGCGAAGGCGACUCACUGGCCCAAUACUGACGCUGAGGCGCGAAAGCGUGGGGAGCAAACAGGAUUAGAAACCCCUGUAGUCC